RNAcentral lists this ribosomal RNA (1280 nucleotides) under metagenome. Its description in RNAcentral is "bacterial LSU rRNA". It matches the Rfam family "Bacterial large subunit ribosomal RNA", at positions 1644 to 2904 of the family's 2925-position model. The record is from RNAcentral.
UUACCCGAAACCGACACAGGUGGUCAGGUCGAGAAGACCAAGGCGCUUGAGAGAACUCUGGUGAAGGAACUAGGCAAAAUAGUACCGUAACUUCGGGAGAAGGUACGCUGUUGAGGGUUAAGGAUUUACUCCGUAAGCCUUCGGCAGCCUCAGAAACUAGGCCGCUGCAACUGUUUAUUAAAAACAUAGCACUCUGCAAACACGAAAGUGGACGUAUAGGGUGUGAUGCCUGCCCGGUGCUGGAAGGUUAAUUGAUGGGGUUAGCUAACGCGAAGCUCUUGAUCGAAGCCCCAGUAAACGGCGGCCGUAACUAUAACGGUCCUAAGGUAGCGAAAUUCCUUGUCGGGUAAGUUCCGACCUGCACGAAUGGCAUAAUGAUGGCGGCGCUGUCUCCACCAGAGACUCAGUGAAAUCGAAAUCGCGGUGAAGAUGCCGUGUACCCGCGGCUAGACGGAAAGACCCCGUGAACCUUUACUGCAGCUUUGCACUGAACUUUGAUCUUACCUGUGUAGGAUAGGUGGGAGGCUUUGAAGCUCGGACGCUAGUUCGAGUGGAGCCAUCCUUGAAAUACCACCCUGGUAAUAUUGAGGUUCUAACCCAGGUCCGUUAUCCGGAUCGGGGACAGUGUAUGGUGGGUAGUUUGACUGGGGCGGUCUCCUCCUAAAGAGUAACGGAGGAGUACGAAGGUGCGCUCAGCGUGGUCGGAAAUCACGCGUAGAGUAUAAAGGCAAAAGCGCGCUUAACUGCGAGACCGACAAGUCGAGCAGGUACGAAAGUAGGUCUUAGUGAUCCGGUGGUUCUGUAUGGAAGGGCCAUCGCUCAACGGAUAAAAGGUACUCUGGGGAUAACAGGCUGAUACCGCCCAAGAGUUCAUAUCGACGGCGGUGUUUGGCACCUCGAUGUCGGCUCAUCUCAUCCUGGGGCUGAAGCAGGUCCCAAGGGUAUGGCUGUUCGCCAUUUAAAGAGGUACGCGAGCUGGGUUUAGAACGUCGUGAGACAGUUCGGUCCCUAUCUACCGUGGGCGUUGGAGACUUGAGAGGAUCUGCUUCUAGUACGAGAGGACCGAAGUGGACGAACCUCUGGUGUUCCGGUUGUCACGCCAGUGGCACUGCCGGGUAGCUAUGUUCGGAAGGGAUAACCGCUGAAAGCAUCUAAGCGGGAAGCCUACCUCAAGAUGAGGUCUCCCUGAGGGUUUAACCCUCCUAAAGAGCCGUUAGAGACCAUGACGUUGAUAGGUUCGGUGUGGAAGUGCAGCGAUGCAUGAAGCUAACGAAUACUAA